This 686-nucleotide ribosomal RNA is filed under the name uncultured Pelagibacteraceae bacterium. RNAcentral describes it as "bacterial SSU rRNA". It matches the Rfam family "Bacterial small subunit ribosomal RNA", at positions 45 to 777 of the family's 1533-position model. The record is from RNAcentral. Lineage: Bacteria; Pseudomonadati; Pseudomonadota; Alphaproteobacteria; Candidatus Pelagibacterales; Candidatus Pelagibacteraceae.
CGCCUAACACAUGCAAGUCGAACGCAGUAGCAAUACUGAGUGGCAAACGGGUGAGUAUAAUGUGGGAAUCUGCCUUUUGGUUCGGAAUAACACGGGGAAACUUGUGCUAAUACCGGAUAAGCCUUCACAGGGAAAGUUUUAAUGCCAAAAGAUGAGCCCGCACUUGAUUAGCUAGUUGGUGAGGUAAUUGCUCACCAAGGCAAUGAUCAAUAGCUGUUCUUAGAGGAAGACCAGCCACAUUGGGACUGAGACACGGCCCAGACUCCUACGGGAGGCAGCAGUGGGGAAUCUUGCACAAUGGGGGAAACCCUGAUGCAGCGAUGCCGCGUGAGUGAAGAAGGCCCUUGGGUUGUAAAACUCUUUCGUCGGGGAAGAAAAUGACUGUACCCGAAUAAGAAGGUCCGGCUAACUUCGUGCCAGCAGCCGCGGUAAUACGAAGGGACCUAGCGUAGUUCGGAAUUACUGGGCUUAAAGAGCUCGUAGGUGGUUAAAAAAGUUGAUUGUGAAAUCCCAAGGCUUAACCUUGGAACUGCAAUCAAAACUUUUUAGCUAGAGUAUGAUAGAGGAAAGUGGAAUUUCUAGUGUAGAGGUGAAAUUCGUAGAUAUUAGAAAGAACACCAAAUGCGAAGGCAACUUUCUGGAUCAUUACUGACACUGAGGAGCGAAAGCAUGGGUAGCGAAGAGGA